AUAUGCAAUAAAUACUAGCGAUGUAGACUGGUAUUACCAGACGCUAGAGAUUGCCAUUCGAUUGAGUUUUCUGGCAUAUUUCGACGAACAUUACUGAUUAGAAAUUACAGUAAAAUCAGAAACGACUGAAUGUCAAUCAGUUUAUAUACAUUCAUAUUAGUAAUAAUAAUAAUAUUACAUUAUUAUAUGCGCUGCUACCCAUUUGAUUCAAUAUUAGCGACUUAGCUCCUUUAAUUACUGUACCCUCUUAUACCUUUAGGUCACAUUAAUUUCAUGAAACAUUAAUUCCUUGUUUAAAAGUACAAUGAUUCAUAUUCCUGCUAUGCGCUUUAUAAUGUUCUUAUCUGUUAUGUACCGAGUUGCUAUGAAAACUAGAAAAUCAUUAAAAUUAUGAUUGAUGGGCUGAGUUGAUAUGACAAACAGAAACUCAUUUAAAUUAUGACAAUUAAAUUAUAUGUUCAUUGCACAAAGUUAAUAAAAUAAGGAAAAACGGAAAAGAAAGAACUAAAAAUUGUAUUGUAAUAAUUGAGUUGUGUAUUUGUUGAACAAAAAUAAUUAAAAAAAAUAAAAUAAAAUAAUUACUAAUUAGAGUUGUGGAAGCCAAGUGUAGGAAUGCUUCUUUAGGUUUUAAGAAUUUCAAACAUGUUAUGGAAGCCAAGUAUAGGAAUGCUUCUUUAGGUUAUAAGAAUUUCCAACAUUACUAUUGAAGCCAAGUGUAGGAAUGCUUCUUUAGGUUUUAAAAAUUUCAAACAUUAUUAUGGAAGUCUAGUGUAGGAAUGCUUCUUUAGGUUUUACAAAUUUCAAACACUAUUAUGGAAGCCGAGUGUAGGAAUGCUUCUUUUGGUUUUAGAAAUUUCAAACAUUAUUAUGGAAGCCAAGUGUAGGAAGGCUUCUUUAGGUUUUAGAAAUUCCAAACAUUACUAUGGAAGCCAAGUGAAGGAAUGCUUCUUUAGAGAAAAGGAAAAAUUCUAACUCCAUCUGUUUUGUGAGUGUAAAUGGUUAUGAUAAAAUACAGAUGAGUGAUUCUAGUAAGCACAAACAAUGCAAUUAUUUGAUGUUUUAUUUGUAUGUAUGUAUUUAUAUUUUCAAAUCUUCAUUGUUAAUGUGGUGUUUAUAUUUAUCCUGGAAAAAUUCCCCCCAUUUUCUAAUCUUUUUUUUAUGGGAGUAUUUAAUCAUGGUUGUUCUCAUUAUUAAUAUUUUUUUAUUAUAUUAAGUAUAUUUAACUAUUUCUAAUUAUUCUCUAUUAUUAGGGUAGGAUAUAAGUCAUUUGGCCCCUUGUACCCUUGGGGCUCCAUGCUAGGGUAAUCUACUUGAGUCUUCUUAAGUAAAACUAUGUUUGUUGUCAUUUUUAAUAAAUAAAUUCUCUAAAGACACCUUGGCUGUAAACCUAGGCGCUUACCAAAAAUGUUCCCAGCUGUGUCUUGCAGCUUCAAAGACUGACCCUGUCUGUUUUUGGUCAGUUUUAAUAAAUUAUUUCAAUACAGCAGACCUUGGCCGUGAAACUAGGGGCUUACAAAAAAUGUUUCCUGCUGUGUCCAAAUCCUUACCGUUCCAUUUCUGCAGCCCCAAAUUAAUGAUUUGAAAAAUGGCUAACGUUUGUUGUCAUCCCUUACCACUUGAUUGAAAUGGGGUUAAAAGUUCUAUGACUGCUGUAGCCCAUAUUUUAUGGUUUGAAGAAUGGCUAACUAAUAUAUCCCUUACUGCUUGACUGAAAUGUGGUUUAAACUUUAAAAGUCCUACAACUAUUGCAGUUCCAACUUAAUGGCAUGUCUUGUAAGUUUUAUUACAUAUUUUUGUAAUGGCCUGUAUCUAUUGUACAACGAUAUUAAUUACAUGUAUUAUUGUGUACUUAAUAAGUGAUAUAUAUAUAUAUAUAUAAAAAUAUCAAAUAUUAAAUUUUGUGCAUGUUUUGUAGAAUUAUCGCUCAUAUAAUAUGUUCCGAGCUCUUACUAUACAUCCACUUGCACUGAGAAGUGUUGUUAACUUUCUAAAUACAUGGGCAAUAGAACCAAUGCUCAACUUUCUCAAAGUCACAUUAAAACUAUUGUUCUUUUAAAGAUGCAUUAUGUAAGAUUUAGAUAAAAAGCUGGUCAUUCUUGCUAUAAUUGUUUAAAAAUAGAUAAUGGAAAAUGAAUAUAUUGAAAAUUUCAUUCAAAUUACUUUAUUCUGAGAAUUUUUGACUGUUUGAAGAUGUAGCGUAGAUAGUUUAAUAUCGCAGCAACGGUACUUGACAACAGAGACUAUGUCUAGAUUAUCCAUUUUAUCAUUAAAAUUCUAUCUCAGCAUGUUCAAAUCCAUUUAAAUCUCAGUCAUUCGAUGGUCUAGAGAGUUAGUGGCUUGUCAUAUUAAUAAAUGUCUAAAUAAUAGUUUAGGUAACAUUUGAAGCCAAAAUAAAGACCUGCAAUAGACAAAUUUAGCUCUUACAUAAUGUAUGUUUAAAUUAUAAAACUAUCCUCCUUCAUGGGAUUUCAUCAUUUAAAUUUACUACUUGUUUUUUGGACAUUAUUAUCCAGUCUUUAUUUUCAUUAGUCUUGAUCACUCAGGUCCAAAUUGUUUCUGCUCAGCUACAACAAAUACUCAUCUGGACAAUAUAUCAUUCAUUGUGGGUUUGUGCUGACUGAUUUUUGGGUACUGGUAUAUAAUGCAGCAUACCAUUACUAAACUUAAGCUGCCUGUCUACCGUUAGCUCCGUAUAAAAUAGAUGGAUCUCUGCGUGCGGAAUGAUAAUACAGUUGGCAUAUUUAAUCAUUGCCCCUGCACUCCAGUUGUUAAUGGGGGUAUCAUUGCCCCUGUACUCAAAGUUUUAUUCAGGGUAUCAUUACACUGUAUCAGAUGUAUUCUGCCCAACCAAUCAUAAGAAACACUAAAUUUCUGUAUGACCUUUGACAUUGAAUAGAUAAUUCAUGUUAUUUUGUACAGACCAAUAUUCAUUGUACUUUUUUUUCAUAACUUUAUAUUUUGUACCCACCACUUCUUUUAAAACUUAUAAUGGGGGUAUCAUUGCUCUGCACCAUAUGCAUUCUGUAGGUGAAGGUCAUUUUCAUGACAACCAUCAUAAGAUAUAAGACACUGAAAAGACAAUUCACAUUAUUUUUUCCAGAUCAAUAUUCAUUUUACUUUUAGUGAUAACUUUUCAUUGUACCCACCCCUUUUUCUAAACUUCAUUUAUCGCCACAUGUUUGUUGUUUAAGAAAUCUCUUGUAAUUACCGUAUCUAUGACCAAUUUCAAGAGUUAUUAUAAUUUUUUUUAUUGAAUACAAUAUUUAAUUGUUAAGUGUAUAAAUUAUUUUUGUUGUAACUUGGUGAAACACACCACCACCCAGGAAGGUGAAAAAAAAUAUCUAUUAAAUUGUAAAUAUUAAUUAAUUAAUUAUUAUGAUUAUUUAAGAAUUAAAGUUGUCUUCAAAUUAC
This is a long non-coding RNA of Patella vulgata (common limpet), 3411 nucleotides long. RefSeq lists it as uncharacterized. NCBI's taxonomy places the organism in Eukaryota, Metazoa, Mollusca, Gastropoda, Patellidae. The transcript is spliced from 2 exons. The record is from RefSeq and is a predicted model, not a curated record.